AAAAAACUCUCAUUUGUCUUCUCUUCUUCCAUGGAAAUUUUAAGUCAAUAUGUAUUGUCAGAAACUAUAUUCUCAUUUCAUUAAAUAAAAUGGAAGUUACAUAACCAAACCGGAAAAUACAUGUGAACACGAGCAAAAAGAUCCCUAAAAACUUAAAAUUACCCAGCUACUCUCCAGCUCCCUAAAAACUUAAAAUUCAUCUCCGGAAAAUACAUGUGAACACAAGCAAAAAGAUCCCUAAAAACAUAAAAUUCAUCUCCUCAAGAAGACAAAGCUACUCUCCAGCUCCCGAGCGCCGGUGGUGCUCGCCAUAUGUCAACUGGGGUUAAUCCCCGUGCCUUUGUGGUCGCGGAUCCGGCUGUACCCGCCGAAGUCAUCAGAGGGACACACCAUUUUCGCAACCAUCUGCCUCAAACCAUGCUCCUGAACGGCACUCUGUCUCCGAAGAAUCCAUUGAACCUGUAUUACCUGCGUGUUGAAAAGCUCUAAGAAUGGCUCAGAAAAUCAAAAACGAAAGGUAUGGGAAAUAUCAAAAGCAACAGGUGGAGGGAAACCUGGUGGAAGAUGCGGCUCACAGCCUGUCGAGGAUCCCACCGAUCUGAAGCGACGGAAUUCGACCAGGCGUGUCGUCAGGUGGAGGAUGAAGCGGGAUCUCGAGCACGCCCGUAGUCGUCACGCCCGGCCCAUCCAGCUUCGGUAUGAACCGUCGCUCAUUGCAGCAAGUGGGCACCAUCCACACCAACGGCAACGGCGCCGCGUGCACUAGUCUGCCUUCAGGGGCGUUCCCACCUGCGAGACGAGGCUAACAUCACGGAGGCAGAUGGUCAUUGUGGGAUGCAGAGGGGAAGAUGGUCGUGGAUGGCGAGGUCACGGCGGCUACUAACCCGGCGGUUGGGGUGCAGAGGGGAUGAUGGCCAUGGAUGGCAAGGUUGGGAUAGCUGCGGCCAUGGAUAGGGAGAGUGCCAUGAAGGGGGAGAGUGCCAUGGAGGGGGGAGGAUCUGGAGGAGGCCGACCGAGAUCCACUUCCUCACGGUGGAAGAGAAGAGGGCGUCUCAUGCGUGGGCGUGAGGAAGCAUAGAAAGAGGGGGAGCUUUCCUUGCCGUUGGAUCUCAGGUGGAAGGACGGUUCACAUCUGCGAUCCGUGGGAUGCUUAGUUCAACCAAUCAGAGCGCAGUUUUGACCUCACACUGGAUUGCCAAUUCGGCUGGAAACUAUAGCGGGCCACUGUUGAUAGUGAGGCCGACCCAGAAUUCAUUUUUUUCAGUUAUUCAAAUAACCCAAUAAGGCAUCCUUGUGGAGUAACUUGGAAAAAAGAAUUAUCAUAUAUAUCACAACAAAUUUUUCAUGUAAGUAUUGUUGCACACGAGGUGAACAACAAACUGGAAAAGCAUGUGUGCGUACUUUUCAUUUAGAUCUGGAACAUUAUUUUCGGCACAUAUUUGAAUAAAUGUUGUAAUAGACCAACAAUUUUUCCAAUAUAUUAUUUUCUUUUGAUGUACAAUUAUGUUUAUUAAAAUGUAUGAAUAUUUCUCAAAAGUACACAAACGUUGCAAAUUUUGAAGAAAGAUUAAUUUUGUGUUCCCAUAAACAAUUUGCAAAAGAUCAAUUGUUUGAUAUGGAUAAUCCAAACUCCUAUUUGCAACCUAUCAAAAAAUGGUUAACACAAAUAUGUUUUGUCAAACCAUUUUUUCCUGUAACACAACUUGAACUAUAUGAGCGCAUAGACUCAUUAACACAAAUAUGAUUUUUCAUGCACAUGUAGUUCAAAAAUGAAUUGUAUGCAUUAAAUGCCUAGAAACGUACUAAAGGAGUUAAAUAUAGCAAAGGACCCCCAAAAGGCCAAAUUUUGACAUGUAUCAUGUAAUUGUGUAUGUUUAGUGUAGAAAACAAUUCAAGGACAAUGGAUGAAGCAGUGGUCACUUCGCCUUCAAACCUGGUCGUUGCCUCUCGAAACCUAGAUUCUUUCGUGAGAUGAUCCAGUUUCAAAGCAGCGCAUGUUACAAUUUUUAUAAAACCUUCUCAAGUUUUUACCACAAGUUUUGGGUGUCAUGUGUGGGUACCAUGCCCAAUUUCAUGACUUUCAGACUUAGUUUGCAUUUUUUAGAAUUAAAAGGGUAUACUCCAUGCUCGGGAUCGUGUCUUAGCACCAUCAUGUUUAGAAUUUCUUUCCUUUUAUUGCAUAGGCCUAAACAUAGACUUGCUAACAAAAAUAUGAUUUUUCAAACAAAUUUUGUAAACUUUUUCGUGCACCUGCAAUUUAAAAUUGAAUUGUAUUCAUUAAUUGCGUUGAAUGACUUAAAUAUAACAAACUGACUCUGAAAAAAGUCAAAAUUUGAUAUGGUUUCAUGUAUUGGUGUAUGUUGCAUGCAAUUUGACCAAUAGAAAAAGCAAUGGUCGUUUCAUGUUCAAACCUGACCCGUCGCUUCUUGAAACCUAGUCUUUUGUUCUUUAGCUUAAAUUGGUUAAAAUAUAUUCUAUGUUGUGUUUCGAGUCAUCAGAAUACGCAUAGAACCUUUUUUUAAUAUAUUAAUAUAUUACUCAGUGCACAUUUUUUUAAUAUAUUAGCAUGUAUCUAUCCAUGAACCUCUUCAAGCGAUUUUCCCUUUCAUUUUUUAUGGAUUCAAACAAUUUUUCUGACAAUUGUUUUCAAUUUUCCAAGUACUACUAAUAUUCUUGAAUAAUUAUGUAGUAACAUUAAUACUUCUUGAAUAAGGAGUUUGACCAGAUUUAACCAAUUUUUUUUUUUUAAAAACUGAAAUUUGACCAUAUCUCUUUUCCUUUUAGAAUUUGAGGAUUCCAAAAAAUUCCAAACAGGCCAUCGGCCGUCUCCAUCGGAUGCGGAUUUUCGUGCUGAAUUUUUUGAUAUAUUAUGCGUUUUUUUCCGACAUCGUAUGCAAAAGUUAUAGCCGUUUUACAUUUUCCCUACACUUUUUGCAAAACAUGUCCAAAUUGUAGUUUUCAAAUUUUCCUAACUAGUAGAUGUAGUAAUAUAACUACCUCUCGAAGGAUUUUAUUUUUUGAAGUUUUUAUCAUUUUCUUUUGAUUUUUUCAGAACUGAAAUGGCGACACACGGGAGGAGGGGGGGAGAGUUUGAAAAUUGCCCUAUAGUGCCGGUUUGUGUCACAAACCGGUACUAUAGGUCAGACCCCUUUAGUACCGGUUCAUGGCACGAACCGGUACUAAAGGUGGUUCGUGCCACGAACCGGUACUAAAGGUGAUCGUGGGGCCUCGGCCUGACGCCAGCCUGCCACCACCCCUUUAAUACCGGUUCGUGUCACGAACUGGUACUAAAGGUUCAACACGAACCAGCAUUUAAUGCAAAUCCGUUUGAACCGGCACUAAUGGUACCAUUAGUACCGGGCCAAAAUCAAACAGGUACUAAUGUACUUCACGUUUGACCCUUUUUCUACUAGUGCAGGGAAUCUGGCCAUCAGCAGAUUCUAUUCUAAUGUGUAACUUAAUAUACAAAUUGAAUCAGUGGGACAACACAAUCACAGUAUAUUAGUGUGUAUUACUGGGACAAGUGAAUUAAAACAUGAUUUUUUUUGUUCAAUCUCGGCGCAAACAACACCGGCUCAAAUACCACAUGGGAGGUGAAACCAUGUUGCCAUCCACUUCGUCUCCCAACAACAACCAUCAGGCCUGUCAAGAACCGGAGGCGAAACUUCUAACGAUGGCCGCGUCAUGUAUAUCACGUCAUAAUUUGACGUCGUACCGUCCAUGACGGUGCUCGGCCGUCAUGGAUUUGCCCCAAGCAUGCUUAACGGAUAUGCUCAUAACGACAUUAACAGGUUUGCCACAUCAUCAUUUGACAUGGAUCAGACACAGCAACCCAUAUAGGAAUCAGCCCAGUUAAAAUUUUGGCCCACCGGGUCCAAUAGGGACGGCCCAAGCAAUCAACCCAAAUUAAAAAAUUCAGCCCAUUAAACUAUGAUCGUACCAAGGCCCACUAAUUCACUACAAGCCAUGCACCCACCUCUAAUCUAAUUUCUCUUCUCUUUAAAAAAAACUCUCAUUUGUCUUCUCUUCUUCCAUGGAAAUUUUAAGUCAAUAUGUAUUGUCAGAAACUAUAUUCUCAUUUCAUUAAAUAAAAUGGAAGUUACAUAACCAAACCGGAAAAUACAUGUGAACACGAGCAAAAAGAUCCCUAAAAACUUAAAAUUACCCAGCUACUCUCCAGCUCCCUAAAAACUUAAAAUUCAUCUCCGGAAAAUACAUGUGAACACAAGCAAAAAGAUCCCUAAAAACAUAAAAUUCAUCUCCUCAAGAAGACAAAGCUACUCUCCAGCUCCCCAGCGCCGGUGGCGCUCGCCAUAUGUCAACUGGGGUUAAUCCCCGUGCCUUUGUGGUCGCGGAUCCGGCUGUACCCGCCGAAGUCAUCAGAGGGACACACCAUUUUCGCAACCAUCUGCCUCAAACCAUGCUCCUGAACGGCACUCUGUCUCCGAAGAAUCCAUUGAACCUGUAUUACCUGCGUGUUGAAAAGCUCUAAGAAUGGCUCAGAAAAUCAAAAACGAAAGGUAUGGGAAAUAUCAAAAGCAACAGGUGGAGGGAAACCUGGUGGAAGAUGCGGCUCACAGCCUGUCGAGGAUCCCACCGAUCUGAAGCGACGGAAUUCGACCAGGCAUGUCGUCAGGUGGAGGAUGAAGCGGGAUCUCGAGCACGCCCGUAGUCGUCACGCCCGGCCCAUCCAGCUUCGGUACGAACCGUCGCUCAUUGCAGCAAGUGGGCACCAUCCACACCAACGGCAACGGCGCCGCGUGCACUAGUCUGCCUUCAGGGGUGUUCCCACCUGUGAGACGAGGCUAACAUCACGGAGGCAGAUGGUCAUUGUGGGAUGCAGAGGGGAAGAUGGUCGUGGAUGGCGAGGUCGCGGCGGCUACUAACCCGGCGGUUGGGGGGUGCAGAGGGGAUGAUGGCCAU
Molecule: long non-coding RNA, 4923 nt
Filed under: Triticum aestivum (bread wheat)
Lineage: Eukaryota; Viridiplantae; Streptophyta; Magnoliopsida; Poales; Poaceae
Description: long non-coding RNA (TAES_LNC006210)
Source: RNAcentral